GGUGACGUGGUGUGAGUGGUUAGCCACGAGACUGCAAAUCUCGGCAACGUCGGUUCGAUCCCGACCGUCACCUCCA
Molecule: transfer RNA, 76 nt
Filed under: Verrucomicrobiaceae bacterium
Lineage: Bacteria; Pseudomonadati; Verrucomicrobiota; Verrucomicrobiia; Verrucomicrobiales; Verrucomicrobiaceae
Description: tRNA-Cys
Rfam family: tRNA
About the family: Transfer RNA (tRNA) molecules are approximately 80 nucleotides in length. Their secondary structure includes four short double-helical elements and three loops (D, anti-codon, and T loops). Further hydrogen bonds mediate the characteristic L-shaped molecular structure. tRNAs have two regions of fundamental functional importance: the anti-codon, which is responsible for specific mRNA codon recognition, and the 3' end, to which the tRNAs corresponding amino acid is attached (by aminoacyl-tRNA synthetases). tRNAs cope with the degeneracy of the genetic code in two manners: having more than one tRNA (with a specific anti-codon) for a particular amino acid; and 'wobble' base-pairing, i.e. permitting non-standard base-pairing at the 3rd anti-codon position.
Source: RNAcentral